UAGGGAAUCUUCGGCAAUGGGGGGAACCCUGACCGAGCAACGCCGCGUGAGUGAAGAAGGUUUUCGGAUCGUAAAGCUCUGUUGUUAAGGAAGAACGAGUGUGAGAAUGGAAAGUUCAUACUGUGACGGUACUUAACCAGAAAGGGACGGCUAACUACGUGCCAGCAGCCGCGGUAAUACGUAGGUGGCAAGCGUUAUCCGGAAUUAUUGGGCGUAAAGCGCGCGUAGGCGGUUUUUUAAGUCUGAUGUGAAAGCCCACGGCUCAACCGUGGAGGGUCAUUGGAAACUGGAAAACUUGAGUGCAGAAGAGGAAAGUGGAAUUCCAUGUGUAGCGGUGAAAUGCGCAGAGAUAUGGAGGAACACCAGUGGCGAAGGCGACUUUCUGGUCUGUAACUGACGUUGAUGUGCGAAAGCGUGGGUAGCAAACAGG
Molecule: ribosomal RNA, 430 nt
Filed under: Bacteroidota bacterium
Lineage: Bacteria; Pseudomonadati; Bacteroidota
Description: Bacteroidetes bacterium partial 16S ribosomal RNA
Rfam family: Bacterial small subunit ribosomal RNA
Source: RNAcentral